AGAUGGUGAUUCUUCAGUCUUUUUCUGUGCAGACUUUUCAGUUUCUGAUUCCCCUGAUUGCACUGCACGAAUCAAUUGGAAAUGAAUUCGUCUUGUUCUUAUCAAAGUUUGUUGUGGGAAGCGGUGAACGAUGAAGAAAGAAGAGGUGUGGCAGAGAGAGAACGCCAUCAUCAUCUCAGAGAGACAAGGUACAAGGUGUGCCCAUGUGUCUCACAUUACAUGCAAGAGAUAAGAGAAAAGCCUAACAAAGGGCACCAUUCGUGACGUGGCAAAUGAAACAAAUCACAACACGCCAUGUGUCCAUUUAUGAAUUAUUUUGACUUUUUGACCAGACAAGAGAAUUUUCAACUCACCCUCUGUUCAUGCUUGCUUCUAGUAGUAGGUGAAUUUUAAUAUAUCCAUUUAUAAUAAAAUGUUUAAUUCUUUUUUAUUUUUAUAAUUUUAUCAAAUUUUUAAUUAAGUUUUUUCCCCUGAUUGCACUGCACGAAUCAAUUGGAAAUGAAUUCGUCUUGUUCUUAUCAAAGUUUGUUGUGGGAAGCGGUGAACGAUGAAGAAAGAAGAGGUGUGGCAGAGAGAGAACGCCAUCAUCAUCUCAGAGAGACAAGGUACAAGGUGUGCCCAUGUGUCUCACAUUACAUGCAAGAGAUAAGAGAAAAGCCUAACAAAGGGCACCAUUCGUGACGU
This 684-nucleotide long non-coding RNA is filed under the name Arachis ipaensis. RNAcentral's name for it is "long non-coding RNA (AIPA_LNC002520)". The record is from RNAcentral. Lineage: Eukaryota; Viridiplantae; Streptophyta; Magnoliopsida; Fabales; Fabaceae.